This is a non-coding RNA of Labrus bergylta (ballan wrasse), 1318 nucleotides long. Lineage: Eukaryota; Metazoa; Chordata; Actinopteri; Labriformes; Labridae. The record is from RefSeq and is a predicted model, not a curated record.
GAGGGACUGCAGAGUCCAAACUGUAGACUGGAGACUCUGAGUGCCAAUGGUUAAAGUUAGAGUUAUCCUCCUCCUCUUCUGACUGCGCUGGCUUCCUCAAUCUACAACAACAAAUUGAAGAACAGGAAGGAAGGAUUUCCCCACUACCAAAUUAACCAAGAUGAACAGCUUACUGACACGCUGUUUGAAUCAUCAACCUAUAUUCCUGCUAUCAAAACAUCAGAAUGAGAAGCACCAGUCAAAUUUGCAGAUGCGGAGACUGCAACCCAUGCUACAGACCUGGCUGACCCCUGACUUGACUCAAGCACAAAUGGACUGGAGGUAUCCCCACCGGCACUCGCUACAGACCUAGCUGACACCCUCUCCUGGGUCUCACUGGGGACUGACCCCACAGACAUCCCCACUGGUGCUCACCACAGAUCUCUGCAAAGCAAAGGUGCUAGGCUGAAAGUCUCCACUCCUGGUCAGCUGUGGUCUGAUGUUGUCUGUCGGGUAAAAAACAAGCACAAGCGCAAAUCUCGAGACACUCCCCCAUUGCUUAGUGAACCAGAUGUAAUGACUGCUAAUGGUAAUGACAGCACUACCAUGUAAGGGAUGCAGCGUGUUAGUACUAGUUUCAGAGCUAAUGCCAAAACCUGCAUAAUGUCCAUUUCUCCUGCCUACUACAACACCACUAUUGAGCUACGCUGCUGAGUUUAAGAAUCUGAACCUACAGAGUAGGUAUACAUUCGCCUUGAGAGACUGACAACUUUGUCUAGCUCACUGUGCUGCAGCCUACUUUUCACCCUGUUGAGGCCCGCUGUCAACUCUCAACAUACGUCAGAUAUCCAACCACCUGUAACUCAUUGAGCCAGGACUCCCUACAGACUCCCGGCCUCAGCAUGCUUCAUCUCCCUCUGCAACACUACAGGUGAUGUAUGUAUAAUCAUUGUCUGCUGGGCAUCAUUCAUGCAUCACGCAUAAAUGUACUACAUGGUACACAACAUAUCACACACUUAAUUACAGCUCCCUAUAGCUGUACAGUGUAUAGCCAUUAACUAUUUCUUUAUUCAAUUUUCAUCUGUCAGUUUUCCAGAUAGUUAUACUGUCACCCCUUUAUUGUCAUUGUUGAUGGUUCAUGUCUUCCAUUAUGGAACUCCUGUAAUUGCACUGCAGUUUGCACGAGAUAUUGUUUUAAUUAUCAGUAUUGUAUGUUCACAUGAUAAUUUCUUCCUUCCAACCAUAGGUAUACCUCUUGUAUAUACUAUAUUCACUUAUAUUACCUGACUAUUGAGUGUGCUUUACUUUAGUAAUAAAUGUAUAACUUUGCAUAAAGUCA